Molecule: ribosomal RNA, 481 nt
Filed under: uncultured bacterium
Lineage: Bacteria
Description: partial 16S ribosomal RNA
Rfam family: Bacterial small subunit ribosomal RNA
Source: RNAcentral
GACGAACGCUGGCGGCGUGCUUAACACAUGCAAGUCGAGCGGAAAGGCCACCUCGAUGGUACUCGAGCGGCGAACGGGUGAGUAACACGUGCGUAAUCUCCCCCUGGCUUUGGGAUAGCCACCGGAAUCGGGGAUUAAUACCGGAUACGACCACUUCUCGCAUGGGAUGGUGGCGGACAGUUUUUUCGGCCAGGGAUGUGCUCGCGGCCUAUCAGCUUGAUGGUGAGGUAAUGGCUCACCAUGGCUUCGACGGGUAGCCGGCCUGAGAGGGUGACCGGUCACACUGGGACUGAGACACGGCCCAGACUCCUACGGGAGGCAGCAGUGGGGAAUAUUGGACAAUGGGCGGAAGCCUGAUCCAGCAACGCCGCGUGAGGGAUGACGGCCUUCGGGUUGUAAACCUCUUUCAGCAGGGACGAAGCGCAAGUGACGGUACCUGCAGAAGAAGCACCGGCCAACUACGUGCCAGCCGCCGCAGUAA